RNAcentral lists this ribosomal RNA (301 nucleotides) under uncultured bacterium. RNAcentral describes it as "partial 16S ribosomal RNA". It matches the Rfam family "Bacterial small subunit ribosomal RNA", at positions 509 to 807 of the family's 1533-position model. The record is from RNAcentral.
CAGCAGCCACGGGAAUACGAGGGGGGCAAGCGUUGUUCGGAAUUAUUGGGCGUAAAGGGUGCGUAGGCGGUUUGGUAAGCCUUGUGUGAAAUCUUCGGGCUCAACUCGGAGUCUGCACGAGAAACUGCCGGGCUUGAGUGUGGGAGAGGUGAGUGGAAUUUCCGGUGUAGCGGUGAAAUGCGUAGAUAUCGGAAGGAACACCUGUGGCGAAAGCGGCUCACUGGACCAUAACUGACGCUGAUGCACGAAAGCUAGGGGAGCAAACAGGAUUAGAUACCCGAGUAGUCCCUGUCUCUUAUAC